UAACAGUGAGAAAUCAUUGCUAAUACCGCAUAUGCCAUGAACAUCACAUGAUGAAAGUGGGAAAAGAGUAAUCUGCUAGUAGAUGGGCUCGCGUCUGAUUAGAUAGUUGGUGGGGUAACGGCCUACCAAGUCGACGAUCAGUAGCCGGACUGAGAGGUUGAACGGCCACAUUGGGACUGAGAUACGGCCCAGACUCCUACGGGAGGCAGCAGUCGGGAAUAUUGCGCAAUGGAGGAAACUCUGACGCAGUGACGCCGCGUAUAGGAAGAAGGUUUUCGGAUUGUAAACUAUUGUCGUUAGGGAAGAUACAAGACAGUACCUAAGGAGGAAGCUCCGGCUAACUACGUGCCAGCAGCCGCGGUAAUACGUAGGGAGCAAGCGUUAUCCGGAUUUAUUGGGUGUAAAGGGUGCGUAGACGGGAAAGCAAGUUAGUUGUGAAAUCCCUCGGCUUAACUGAGGAACUGCAGCUAAAACUGUUUUUCUUGAGUGUUGGAGAGGAAAGUGGAAUUCCUAGUGUAGCGGUGAAAUGCGUAGAUAUUAGGAGGAACACCGGUGGCGAAGGCGACUUUCUGGACAAUAACUGACGUUGAGGCACGAAAGUGUGGGGAGCAAACAGGAUUAGAUACCCUGGUAGUCCACACCGU
This 644-nucleotide ribosomal RNA is filed under the name uncultured bacterium. RNAcentral describes it as "bacterial SSU rRNA". It matches the Rfam family "Bacterial small subunit ribosomal RNA", at positions 144 to 803 of the family's 1533-position model. The record is from RNAcentral.